This 1465-nucleotide ribosomal RNA is filed under the name Phasianella australis. Its description in RNAcentral is "16S ribosomal RNA". It matches the Rfam family "Bacterial large subunit ribosomal RNA", at positions 532 to 2827 of the family's 2925-position model. The record is from RNAcentral. Lineage: Eukaryota; Metazoa; Mollusca; Gastropoda; Trochida; Phasianellidae.
UGGCUAAUAAUAGCCUACUUUAAACUAUCUCUUUGCAAGCAUAACUUUUCACUAAUUCUUCUAUAAAGAAACGUCUCUGUUGCUUAGUACCGGCGAAUGAACCCAUUUUUUUAGCCAAAGAGUAUAAGUACCGAAAGGGAAAAUUAUUAAUAACAAAAAAGUAGUGAUGUUAACUCAUACCUUUUGUAUCAUGGUUCUUCUAGACUAACACUUAUUAUUUUUAGUAAGCCCGAAAGAAGUUGAGCUACUAUUAAACAACUAAAUCAUCAACGUAGUAAAGUUGUGACCAGAUUUAAUAGUAGGGAUGAAACGUUUUCCGAAACUUCAGGUUGCUGGUUAACUAGUAAAUGUAUCAAAGUACACCGUCAAAUCUAUAUCUUAUUCCUACUUUCCCCCAGGUUAGGAAAUAAUUUGAUAGACACACGUAAAAGGACAAGCUUUUACGUGAUCAAAAAAGCAAAAUUUAUUUAUUUCUGCUAAGUAGGCUUAAAAUUUGCCAUCUAUAAAAGUUUACUAUAAAUUAACAACUUUAAUAAAUUAAAACACUUACUAUUGCUUUUAAGGUUAAAUUACACCUAAACUUAACUAGUUUUAUUAGUUUAACCAUUAAACUAAUGUAUUUCUGGAGAAAUGAGUAUUCAAAUUAAAUUUUAAUAAGAUGAUGUAUUAAAUUAAAGAAUUCAACUUCCAUCAAAUAAAUUAAAUAUUUACAAUUAAACCUAAUUUCUUAAAAGGAAUUCGGCAAAUUUUAGUUCCGCCUGUUUAUCAAAAACAUCGCUCCUCGACAAUUUACCUAAAUAUGGGGAGUCUGACCUGCCCAGUGACAUUCUGUUUAACGGCUGCAGGUCAUACUGCAUUAAAGUAGCAUAAUAAUUUGCCUCUUAAUUGGGGGCUAGAAUGAAUGGUCUGACGAGAGCUAAGCUGUCUCUUUUGAAAUAUUUAGAAAUUAACUUUUAGGUGAAGAGGCCUAAAUAUUGUUGAGGGACGAAAAGACCCUAUUGAGCUUGAGUGCCGAGCUAGAUUCCCAUUUACUAUUAGAUAACAUAAUCUUAUCACAUCUAGCUUAAAUCUUUAGCUGGGAUGGCUGAGGAGCAAUUAAAACCUCCUUCUAUACUAUAUACAAAUUUUAAUGUAAAGCUAGCAUGCUAAGAUCCAGUAAUACUGAUCAAUGGAAAAAGUUACCAUAGGGAUAACAGCGUAAUCCCUUCAAAGAGCCCUUAUCGAAGAAGGGGUUUGCGACCUCGAUGUUGGACUAAGGUAUCCUAAGGGUGCAGAAGCUCUUAACGGUUGGUCUGUUCGACCAUUAAAACCUUACAUGAUCUGAGUUCAAACCGGCGUGAGCCAGGUUGGUUUCUAUCUUCAAUAAUAAAAAUAAUUUUUCAACUAGUACGAAAGGACCGCUGUAAAAUAAAAAAUUUAUAAAAAUAGACAUCUAAUAAUUUAUUUCAAAUAUAAAAUAUAUUAU